GUGUUUGGGGUAAGGCCCGAACACCAAAGCCUUCGGGCGCUUGAGGAGGGGCUUGCGGCCUAUCAGGUAGUUGGUGAGGGUAACGGCCCACCAAGCCGAUGACGGGUAGCUGGUUUGAGAGGAUGAUCAGCCACAUUGGGACUGAGACACGGCCCAGACUCCUACGGGAGGCAGCAGCAGGGAAUAUUGCGCAAUGGGCGAAAGCCUGACGCAGCAACGCCGCGUGGGUGAAGAAGGCCUUCGGGUCGUAAAGCCCUUUUCCUGGGGAAGAAGCACUGACGGUACCCAGGGAAUAAGCCUCGGCUAAUCACGUGCCAGCAGCCGCGGUGAUACGUGAGAGGCGAGCGUUAUCCGGAUUUACUGGGCGUAAAGGGCGUGUAGGCGGUCGGGUAAGUCCUUUGUGAAAUCUCCCGGCUUAACCGGGAGGGGUCAAAGGAGACUGCUCAACUUGAGGGUAGCAGGGGGAGAUGGAAUUCUCGGUGGAGCGGUGAAAUGCGUAGAUAUCGAGAGGAACACCAGUGGCGAAGGCGAUCUCCUGGGCUAUACCUGACGCUGAGGCGCGAAAGCGUGGGGAGCAAACAGGAUUAGAUACCCU
Molecule: ribosomal RNA, 595 nt
Filed under: uncultured bacterium
Lineage: Bacteria
Description: bacterial SSU rRNA
Rfam family: Bacterial small subunit ribosomal RNA
Source: RNAcentral